AUUGAACGCUGGCGGCAUGCCUUACACAUGCAAGUCGAACGGCAGCACGGGAGCAAUCCUGGUGGCGAGUGGCGAACGGGUGAGUAAUGUAUCGGAACGUGCCCAGUCGUGGGGGAUAACGUAGCGAAAGCUACGCUAAUACCGCAUACGAUCUAUGGAUGAAAGCGGGGGAUCGCAAGACCUCGCGCGAUUGGAGCGGCCGAUAUCAGAUUAGGUAGUUGGUGGGGUAAAGGCCUACCAAGCCUGCGAUCUGUAGCUGGUCUGAGAGGACGACCAGCCACACUGGAACUGAGACACGGUCCAGACUCCUACGGGAGGCAGCAGUGGGGAAUUUUGGACAAUGGGCGCAAGCCUGAUCCAGCAAUGCCGCGUGCAGGAUGAAGGCCUUCGGGUUGUAAACUGCUUUUGUACGGAGCGAAAAGGCUCUCUCUAAUACAGGGGGCUCAUGACGGUACCGUAAGAAUAAGCACCGGCUAACUACGUGCCAGCCGCCGCCGUAA
RNAcentral lists this ribosomal RNA (500 nucleotides) under uncultured bacterium. RNAcentral describes it as "partial 16S ribosomal RNA". It matches the Rfam family "Bacterial small subunit ribosomal RNA", at positions 30 to 523 of the family's 1533-position model. The record is from RNAcentral.